GAAGUAGAAGUCGUAACAAGGUUUCCGUAGGUGAACCUGCGGAAGGAUCAUUAUUGUAUAACCGAGGUGCGAGGGCUGUCGCUGACCCGAAAGGUCGUGCACGCCCGAGUGCCCUCACACACAUCCAUCUCACCCCUAUGUGCACCACCGCGUGGGUCCCCCUUUGGCUUGUUCGGAGGGGGGCUUACGUUUUCACACAAACUUUGUAUGCAGUGUAGAAUGUAUUUUUUGUUUUUGCGAUCACGCAAUCAAUACAACUUUCAACAACGGAUCUCUUGGCUCUC
This 284-nucleotide unclassified non-coding RNA is filed under the name plant metagenome. RNAcentral describes it as "partial contains small subunit ribosomal RNA, internal transcribed spacer 1, and 5.8S ribosomal RNA". The stretch from base 1 to 53 matches the Rfam family "Eukaryotic small subunit ribosomal RNA", at positions 1779 to 1831 of the family's 1831-position model. The record is from RNAcentral.